This is a long non-coding RNA of Mytilus californianus (California mussel), 1004 nucleotides long. RefSeq lists it as uncharacterized. NCBI's taxonomy places the organism in Eukaryota, Metazoa, Mollusca, Bivalvia, Mytilida, Mytilidae. The record is from RefSeq and is a predicted model, not a curated record. The transcript has 3 exons.
AGGUUCUUCUGUGACAUGUUUUCAUGGUGUGGGAAUAAGACUGGGUGGUCUAAUACAGCUAAUACGAAGGUUAGCAUCACAGCUUGUCUGUAAAGAUUGAAGCUGGGAGUGGGCAUUGGAGCUGACUUUUAUGGUAACUGUGGCUGCAUAAAAGGGCUAUGUGAUUUUACUGUAACAGUAAAGAAUGUAAUUCAGACUAUUUUUGUGUAUGUUUGAGAAAAUGUUUAUAAUUUUUACAAAAAGAAAAAAAUUAUGUACAGGUUCUCCAUUUUCAACAAGAUUGGAAGUUGUAGGUUAAUAGGUCUUUGAAAUUUCAAAAAUUACUUUCUAUUUUCUGUUCAUACUCAUGUCUAGGCAAAACACUUCCAGUAGUUUAAGAAUGGAGAAUCUAAAAAGAAAAGAAAAAAAGAAAAAGAAAAAAAUGUUCAAUUAUUGAAAUGUUUUUUAUUUUUGCAAAUUGUAAUAUAUUUUUUCACCUUUGUGUCAUUUUUAGCUGAGUUUAUAACAAAGGGUAUAUUAUUUUAAGAAUAUUUUACAAGAAGCAUAUAACAAAGAUGUGGAGUUCUAACAGGGUGAAAUUUAGGUCAAAGGGAGGUAAUUUAUUAUACUGUGUUUAACUUCAAAUACUUGAAAUUCCCUCAAUGUUAGAUUUUUAUUUACUUGGAUACUCACAUUUAUGCACUUUUUUACAUAUCAGAUGUUUUCUAGAUAAUAGAAAUUUAGAGUGGGAAAAAUUAUGUGUCACUUAAAAUAAUUACAUGAAAUUUUUCAAAAAGUUUAUUAAUUGAAAGUGCAUCUGACAUUUUUUAUGUAUGUUACUUUAUUUUCUAAAAACAAAUGGACACAACAUAGAUUGACAAUAAGAUAUUGAGAAGAACCACCUUGUCAGCCAGGAUAGAAGCUCUUAGGAAGAUGGUCAAUUAAAUCUUCAACCAAGUCUGACUCUUUACCAUGAAAAUAGAAAAGGCAAGUUUAUUUUAGCCAGAUCUUUUAAGAUAACAGAC